UGGUUAUGGGUGGCUUAAAUGAUGAGCCACGAAAAACUCCCGAUCCGAAUCCAUGUCGCUCUCGACGAAGUCUACGACGAUUCCUCGCAACUCGAGGAGGCACAGCUCCCCGCUUACACUGCCUCAAGACCAAGUUUCACAAGGUCUUCGGGCACCUUCCUCAAGUCUGCGCUCGCUCUCCAGGGAGAGUGAAUUUGAUUGGAAAGCAUACAGACUAUGACGGAUUGUCGGUGUUGCCAAUGGUAGGAUAUAUACUAUUGUGGCGAUUAGGAGGAACGAAGGGGAGAAGGUUCUGAGAAUUGUGAAUGUUAAUGAUAAGUAUGAAAUGUGUACUUAUACUGCUGAUCCUAACUAGGUACAAUUCAUGUGAAUUUUCUGGAUUUUUUCUUGCUCAGAAGUUUAUUUGAAGUUUGAUCAUUGUUAUAAAAUCUUCAACGGACAAUUUUGUAUAUUUUUUUUUGUAGGAAAUUGAUUUGAAGAAUCAUAAAUGGGCCCAUUAAAUCAUUUGUGGGUACAAAUGUUUCUAUGAAUUUGCCAAAUCCCGAUGAAUAGAUCUGGGUGCACCAGUGGGACUUGAUGUUCUUAUUGAUGGAACAGUUCCUACAGGUCUUUGUAAAGAUAUAAGAUGGCUGUCAUUUGGAUGGUCUCUGAACCGGGUCAGUGAAGAAGGAAAACAAAGACACAGUUUCUUUUCUAUGGUAUUUCCUGUCAAACAAAUCGGAGAACUGGGGAAGAAAGAAGUAUAAAGCUGGUAGGUUCAUCAUUUUGCAUGUUGUGUGUUUGAAAUCUUUCCUGCUUCAUACUAUGGGCGCACUCGAACAAUUCACUUUGAAAAAUAGUCAGAUGUCUAGGUUUGAUCAUUAUAGUAUUAUGCUUCAGGUUGGGAUGAUGUUGAGGUUAAUUUGUUCAAGCAUCCAAGGUUCAUUAAACCUUUUGCAGCAUGUGAGAUAUAUCUGCGUCAUUCUAGGUGUAGAAAUGAAUUAUCUAUAGCAUUCUACGUUCUAUUCACUAUUUACUUAUUUAGUAAGUGAGGGUUUGGCUCUUGGUUCUUGGCUUCUAGAGUUUUUUUGUUAUUCCUAUACAGAUUACGAGGGAAUAGGAUGGAACAAAGUGGAAGACCGAAAAGGAGUAUAAACUACUUGGGUGAUAAAGUUUGCUCCCUUCCAUUAAUUUUUUUACUUUUUUCAUUCUUUUCUUUGGCUUACCUUUUUUCAUCUUCAUAUCCCACAUUAAGAGUGGGUUUGGGUAUGAACAGUUAGUAGUGGCUACUAGCAAUGUACUGUAGUCUGUAUGGCUUCUUUUUUUCUUUUUUAGUGUGUUCUUUUGUCCUUGAUGCUGCUCAUGUCUAAGUGGCUCUCACAAUUGGUGUGUAAUUUUCAUUGAAUUUAAUAUAUAUCUUUCUC
Long non-coding RNA from Rosa chinensis, 1403 nucleotides. RefSeq lists it as uncharacterized. The record is from RefSeq and is a predicted model, not a curated record. The transcript is spliced from 5 exons. Lineage: Eukaryota; Viridiplantae; Streptophyta; Magnoliopsida; Rosales; Rosaceae.